UACGUAGGGUGCAAGCGUUAAUCGGAAUUACUGGGCGUAAAGCGUGCGCAGGCGGUUUUGUAAGUCUGACGUGAAAUCCCCGGGCUCAACCUGGGAAUUGCGUUGGAGACUGCAAGGCUAGAAUCUGGCAGAGGGGGGUAGAAUUCCACGUGUAGCAGUGAAAUGCGUAGAGAUGUGGAGGAACACCCGAUGGCGAAGGCAGCCCCCCUGGGUCGAAGAUUGACG
This 225-nucleotide ribosomal RNA is filed under the name uncultured bacterium. Its description in RNAcentral is "partial 16S ribosomal RNA". It matches the Rfam family "Bacterial small subunit ribosomal RNA", at positions 524 to 745 of the family's 1533-position model. The record is from RNAcentral.